This is a non-coding RNA of Nitrospirae bacterium RIFCSPLOW2_12_42_9, 116 nucleotides long. The record is from Rfam. Lineage: Bacteria; Pseudomonadati; Nitrospirota.
GGAGGGAGGCCCUCCAAAGCCGGCCUGCAGGGGCAGGCUUUAAACAACCAUGAGCUGCGUUGGUAAAGAGCCAGGGUGGUGAGCGUCAUGGAAAAGGCGCAUAACAAUGCGUCAUG